This 301-nucleotide ribosomal RNA is filed under the name uncultured bacterium. RNAcentral describes it as "partial 16S ribosomal RNA". It matches the Rfam family "Bacterial small subunit ribosomal RNA", at positions 509 to 809 of the family's 1533-position model. The record is from RNAcentral.
CAGCAGCCGCGGUAAUACAGAGGGUGCAAGCGUUAAUCGGAAUUACUGGGCGUAAAGCGCGCGUAGGUGGUUUGUUAAGUUGGAUGUGAAAGCCCCGGGCUCAACCUGGGAACUGCAUCCAAAACUGGCAAGCUAGAGUACGGUAGAGGGUGGUGGAAUUUCCUGUGUAGCGGUGAAAUGCGUAGAUAUAGGAAGGAACACCAGUGGCGAAGGCGACCACCUGGACUGAUACUGACACUGAGGUGCGAAAGCGUGGGGAGCAAACAGGAUUAGAGACCCCCGUAGUCCCUGUCUCUUAUAA